This 465-nucleotide ribosomal RNA is filed under the name uncultured bacterium. RNAcentral describes it as "partial 16S ribosomal RNA". It matches the Rfam family "Bacterial small subunit ribosomal RNA", at positions 28 to 507 of the family's 1533-position model. The record is from RNAcentral.
GAUGAACGCUGGCGGCGUGCUUAACACAUGCAAGUCGAACGAUGAAGCGCAGCUUGCUGGGUGGAUUAGUGGCGAACGGGUGAGUAACACGUGAGUAACCUGCCCUUAACUCUGGGAUAAGCCUGGGAAACUGGGUCUAAUACCGGACAGGAGCGUCCACGGAACGGUGGGUGUUGGAAAGAUGUAUCGGUUUUGGAUGGCCUCGCGGCCUAUCAGCUUGUUGGUGAGGUAAUGGCUCACAAAUGCGACGCCGAGGCGCCGGCCUGUGAGUGAGACAGGACACACAGGCAUAGGGGCACGGCCCGUACGGCUUCGGGAGGCAGGAGUGAGGAAUAUAGGGCGAUACGCGAAAGCAUUAUGCAGCGACGCCGCGUGGUAGAUGACGGCUACGGGGUGUAAACCUCUUUCUGUAGGGAAGAAGCGAAAGUGACGGUACCUGCAGAAAAAGCACCGGCUAACUACGUG